Molecule: long non-coding RNA, 485 nt
Organism: Ruditapes philippinarum (Manila clam)
Lineage: Eukaryota; Metazoa; Mollusca; Bivalvia; Venerida; Veneridae
Exons: 3
Source: RefSeq, a predicted model, not a curated record
ACGCUCGAUUCUGUGAUUUUAUGGGAGGGACUUAUUUUGUUAAAGGUAUAUAAAGAAAGGUUGGUCAUAUGUUUGAUACAGAGGAAACUCAUUGGAAUAACAAAUUAGCGUAUAAAUUGUAUAUUCUCCUACGAGUAUCUGACAGUUGCAGAGAAAUCAAGACCGGUGCAGGAAAAAAUGGAUUCAGUCAAAUUUUUACUUGCAUUCUUCCUGUUUUCUUAUUCAAUGAUUGCUGAUGCGGCACCUUCUUCGAAGUGUGCUGGCAUAACAUGUAUAUUGCCGAAUGACUGUGAAGUGAUUCCAGCUAAAGGACAAUGCUGUCAAAAAUGUAAAAACGUUGCAGGUAAACCAUGCUUCUACGGUAAAGGUCAAGAUGCCAUAAAGGUUGACAAUGGCAAUAAAAUAGAGAUUACAGUUCAUCAAGUCCCAAAAACCUGCGAAUGUACUGACGGUGUUCUGGAUUGUUGGGGGUAACAGUUGUUUUU